UACGUAGGGUGCAAGCGUUAUCCGGAAUUAUUGGGCGUAAAGAGCUCGUAGGCGGUUUGUCGCGUCUGCUGUGAAAACUGGGGGCUCAACCCCCAGCCUGCAGUGGGUACGGGCAGACUAGAGUGCGGUAGGGGAGAUUGGAAUUCCUGGUGUAGCGGUGGAAUGCGCAGAUAUUGGAAAGACCACCGAUGGCGAAGGCACUCUACUGGGCCAUUACUGACACUGAGAGACGAAAGCUAGGGGAGCAAAUGGG
This 253-nucleotide ribosomal RNA is filed under the name uncultured bacterium. RNAcentral's name for it is "partial 16S ribosomal RNA". It matches the Rfam family "Bacterial small subunit ribosomal RNA", at positions 524 to 776 of the family's 1533-position model. The record is from RNAcentral.